RNAcentral lists this ribosomal RNA (510 nucleotides) under uncultured Acidobacteriota bacterium. RNAcentral describes it as "bacterial SSU rRNA". It matches the Rfam family "Bacterial small subunit ribosomal RNA", at positions 355 to 857 of the family's 1533-position model. Lineage: Bacteria; Pseudomonadati; Acidobacteriota. The record is from RNAcentral.
UGGGGAAUUGUUCGCAAUGGGCGCAAGCCUGACGACGCAACGCCGCGUGGAGGAUGAAGGUCUUCGGAUUGUAAACUCCUGUUGCCCGGGACGAAUGGCUCCAACCUAAUACGUUGGAGUGUGACGGUACCGGGUGAGGAAGCCCCGGCUAACUCUGUGCCAGCAGCCGCGGUAAUACAGAGGGGGCAAGCGUUGUUCGGAAUUACUGGGCGUAAAGGGCGCGUAGGCGGCCUGCUAAGUCGAACGUGAAAUCCCUGGGCUCAACCCAGGAACUGCGUCCGAUACUGGUUGGCUUGAAGCCGGGAGAGGGAUGUGGAAUUCCAGGUGUAGCGGUGAAAUGCGUAGAUAUCUGGAGGAACACCGGUGGCGAAGGCGACAUCCUGGACCGGUAUUGACGCUGAGGCGCGAAAGCCAGGGGAGCAAACGGGAUUAGAUACCCCGGUAGUCCUGGCCCUAAACGAUGAAUGCUUGGUGUGGCGGGUAUCGAUCCCUGCCGUGCCGAAGCUAACG